CCAACCCCCGCCCCACACGCACCGGCUGCCUGUGGGGCUGGGGAAGCAGAAGGGGAGAGGAUGACCAGGAGUCAGGAGAGGGUGUGGUAUGAAAAGGUGGAGGUUCCAGCACAGCUGGCAGCUUUCUAGCUAGGGGAAGGAUGGAUGACUUGAGGAAUCUUUAGCUGUUCAAAUCUGGGGUAGGGAGACUAUAAAAUCUAGAGGAGCAAGAGUAAGGGCAGAUGACCCCUAAAUACAUCCCCCUGAAGACUUGGUGCUGACACAUGUGGAGAAUAGUUUAGAUGGGAGGGGGAAACUGAAGAAUCCCCAGGAGCUGGUGAGAGCUCUAACCUCACAGGUGUCCCAGGAAUGUAGGGUUUCCCAUUGCACCCCUCAAAAACACGCUCCUCCCUCUCUUUUACAGAAUCUACGUAGCACUAAUGUGUCUUCACAGCCCACUCGGCCAGCCUGGGCCAAUCAGAGGGAGCCACAGGAAUCGGAGACCUGUGUGUUACUGAGAACAGCACCUGGCACAAAGAAUGGCCUCAGUCAUCAUCUCUGCUGCCUAAUGUUCUAGGCCUCAGUGUUGGACCACAGAGAGAAAUCCCCUAGGUAUCUCUCAGAUCCAAUUUAAACUGAGAAAAAUCAAAGUAAGCAGCCCUGCAUAGACCAAGAGUCCACACCACACACAUCGCGGUAUCGUCACCUGAACAGACACACCUGCGUAACUCCUUCACCAGUUCCCAUUGCAGAAGAGUGCUAACUGCUUUUCUGUUGCCAGGAUAAAACACCACAGCCAAAGCAUCUUCCAG
This 791-nucleotide long non-coding RNA is filed under the name Mus spicilegus (steppe mouse). RNAcentral's name for it is "lncRNA (ENSMSIG00000018664.1)". The record is from RNAcentral. Lineage: Eukaryota; Metazoa; Chordata; Mammalia; Rodentia; Muridae.